CCUACGGGCGGCAGCAGUGAGGAAUAUUGGUCAAUGGACGAGAGUCUGAACCAGCCAAGUAGCGUGAAGGAUGACUGCCCUAUGGGUUGUAAACUUCUUUUAUAUGGGAAUAAAAUGUUCCACGUGUGGGAUUUUGUAUGUACCAUAUGAAUAAGGAUCGGCUAACUCCGUGCCAGCAGCCGCGGUAAUACGGAGGAUCCGAGCGUUAUCCGGAUUUAUUGGGUUUAAAGGGAGCGUAGGUGGAUUGUUAAGUCAGUUGUGAAAGUUUGCGGCUCAACCGUAAAAGUGCAGUUGAAACUGGCAGUCUUGAGUACAGUAGAGGUGGGCGGAAUUCGUGGUGUAGCGGUGAAAUGCUUAGAUAUCACGAAGAACUCCGAUUGCGAAGGCAGUUCACUGGACUGCAACUGACACUGAGGCUCGAAAGUGUGGGUAUCAAACAGGAUUAGAUACCCGAGUAGUC
Molecule: ribosomal RNA, 460 nt
Filed under: uncultured bacterium
Lineage: Bacteria
Description: partial 16S ribosomal RNA
Rfam family: Bacterial small subunit ribosomal RNA
Source: RNAcentral